CCGCUCAGGAAAAGGGACAGUCAGAAACUAUCAGGGUUAAAAGCUUCUGCCCUCCCUCCAGCCCAAGCAAUCAGAGAUGACAAACUCAAACGGUGGCCCCUAGCCAGCCCCUUAAAAAGCAACCAGAAGCGUUUAAGGAAGAUCCUUCUGCUGGGAUCUGGCUGCUGCCCAUCUUUCUCCAACAGCAGUCGCUGCAAGCCCAGCGCUGUGGAAACUGCUUCACGCUGCUGGGGAAAGGGAGGCUUGGGCUGUUCCCAUCCCGGGCAGAUCGAACACUGACAGAUCUAGGCCGAGGUCUGCUCCAAGUCCUGCGUGUACUGACACCGCCUGGGUACAGAGUUACCUUGUGUGGAAGAGAAACGUGGAGCCCCUUGUGCAAGCAGUGAAAGGCACCUUCUUCACGCUCACACCUCUGAUGCUGUCAUUUUCUACUACUCCUGCUUGGACGCUUCACCUCCCCUGCUGCACAAGUGUUGGGUGCAGCAUAUCCUGCGGUGCAGCUGCCACUCUGAAGUACCAAAUACCACCUACCUUUGUUAAUUAACACUGGGUACCUGAAUGUGUUAGGACAAACAGGCAAAAACAUGCAUUACACAUACAAAUGCCUCCUUUGUGAAGAUCUAUAAACAAUGAGGGCUGUCUUAAAUUCUUUUUCACUUUAUUUGUUCUUAAGGAAGCAAUAGUAUUCAUUGCAGCUAAAAGUUUCUUGUUCUGUCUAAACAUUUCUCUUAUAGGGAUUCACACUCCUAAAUCUUAGCAUUAAUCUACAUUUCUUUCCUGUUAUUUUUGUUGUUGUUGUUGUUUGUUUUUAAGUUAAUAUCCUUUUGGAGGGGUUUUGCAUAAUAUAUUCAGAUUUGUUAUCGCUUCACUCACUUUAAAAAAGUUCAG
This is a long non-coding RNA of Anas platyrhynchos (mallard), 888 nucleotides long. RefSeq lists it as uncharacterized. The record is from RefSeq and is a predicted model, not a curated record. Lineage: Eukaryota; Metazoa; Chordata; Aves; Anseriformes; Anatidae.